Molecule: unclassified non-coding RNA, 24 nt
Filed under: Mus musculus (house mouse)
Lineage: Eukaryota; Metazoa; Chordata; Mammalia; Rodentia; Muridae
Description: oocyte_clustered_small_RNA7946
Source: RNAcentral
UGGUGCCCGGCUUGGCUCAAUAUC